This is a non-coding RNA of Pelobates cultripes (western spadefoot toad), 559 nucleotides long. The record is from the annotation of a GenBank genome assembly. Lineage: Eukaryota; Metazoa; Chordata; Amphibia; Anura; Pelobatidae.
GUUAUUCAGAUUUGUAAUUUACAACUAAUUCCACAGUCAACUCUUUGUCAGACCUGCAAGUUUUAUAUUUAUGUUGAAAAUUAAAAUAUUUAGAGGGAUAGGCAACCAUCGGCAAUCCAGAUGUUGUGGACUACAUCCCCCAUAAUGCUCUUACACACAUAAUGCUGGCAAAGCAUCACUAGUGCAAAACAUCUGGAGUCCUGAAGGUUGCCUAUAAGACAUAUAGAAUAUAGAGAGAUAUAGAAUACUUUUAUCAAACAUGCAAUGAAGUUACUUGUAUAAAAAAGUUAUCUGGCACAAUAGUGUAAUUCUACACCGUUGGCCAGUUGGUUCGAAAGCACUAAUAGAGCAAAUUCCCUCAUUCUGACGUAGAAAAGGCAAUUCGCCUCAUUAUGAUAAUAAAUCUUUUUCUGUAAUAUAAUUGUAUAAAACAUCUUAUUACUAACCUUAUUACUUACUUAUUCAUACACACCCAUAAUUGUUUAGUUAUGCACACUUCUUUUAUUCUGGAACUUUCUGUUUGCAAAUAUAUAUAAUAAAUUGGAGUCCUUAUUCAGCC